RNAcentral lists this ribosomal RNA (1424 nucleotides) under uncultured organism. RNAcentral's name for it is "16S ribosomal RNA". It matches the Rfam family "Bacterial small subunit ribosomal RNA". The record is from RNAcentral.
AUGAACGCUGGCGGCGUGCUUAACACAUGCAAGUCGAGCGAUGAAGUUUCCUUCGGGAAACGGAUUAGCGGCGGACGGGUGAGUAACACGUGGGUAACCUGCCUCAUAGAGUGGAAUAGCCUUCCGAAAGGAAGAUUAAUACCGCAUAACGUUGAAAGAUGGCAUCAUCAUUCAACCAAAGGAGCAAUCCGCUAUGAGAUGGACCCGCGGCGCAUUAGCUAGUUGGUGGGGUAACGGCCUACCAAGGCGACGAUGCGUAGCCGACCUGAGAGGGUGAUCGGCCACAUUGGGACUGAGACACGGCCCAGACUCCUACGGGAGGCAGCAGUGGGGAAUAUUGCACAAUGGGGGAGACCCUGAUGCAGCAACGCCGCGUGAGUGAUGAAGGUUUUCGGAUCGUAAAGCUCUGUCUUUGGGGAAGAUAAUGACGGUACCCAAGGAGGAAGCCACGGCUAACUACGUGCCAGCAGCCGCGGUAAUACGUAGGUGGCGAGCGUUAUCCGGAUUUACUGGGCGUAAAGGGAGCGUAGGCGGAUGAUUAAGUGGGAUGUGAAAUACCCGGGCUCAACUUGGGUGCUGCAUUCCAAACUGGUUAUCUAGAGUGCAGGAGAGGAGAGUGGAAUUCCUAGUGUAGCGGUGAAAUGCGUAGAGAUUAGGAAGAACACCAGUGGCGAAGGCGACUCUCUGGACUGUAACUGACGCUGAGGCUCGAAAGCGUGGGGAGCAAACAGGAUUAGAUACCCUGGUAGUCCACGCCGUAAGCGAUGAAUACUAGGUGUGGGGGUUUCAACACCUCCGUGCCGCCGCUAACGCAUUAAGUAUUCCGCCUGGGGAGUACGGUCGCAAGAUUAAAACUCAAAGGAAUUGACGGGGACCCGCACAAGUAGCGGAGCAUGUGGUUUAAUUCGAAGCAACGCGAAGAACCUUACCUACACUUGACAUCCCUUGCAUUACUCUUAAUCGAGGAAAUCCCUUCGGGGACAAGGUGACAGGUGGUGCAUGGUUGUCGUCAGCUCGUGACGUGAGAUGUUGGGUUAAGUCCCGCAACGAGCGCAACCCUUGUCGUUAGUUACUACCAUUAAGUUGAGGACUCUAGCGAGACUGCCUGGGUUAACCAGGAGGAAGGUGGGGAUGACGUCAAAUCAUCAUGCCCCUUAUGUGUAGGGCUACACACGUGCUACAAUGGCUGGUACAGAGAGAUGCAAUACCGUGAGGUGGAGCCAAACUUUAAAACCAGUCUCAGUUCGGAUUGUAGGCUGAAACUCGCCUACAUGAAGCUGGAGUUACUAGUAAUCGCGAAUCAGAAUGUCGCGGUGAAUACGUUCCCGGGUCUUGUACACACCGCCCGUCACACCAUGAGAGUUGGCAAUACCCGAAGUCCGUGAGCUAACCGCAAGGAGGCAGCGGCCGAAGGUAGGGUCAGC